RNAcentral lists this ribosomal RNA (497 nucleotides) under uncultured bacterium. Its description in RNAcentral is "partial 16S ribosomal RNA". It matches the Rfam family "Bacterial small subunit ribosomal RNA", at positions 28 to 507 of the family's 1533-position model. The record is from RNAcentral.
GAUGAACGCUGGCGGCGUGCCUAAUACAUGCAAGUCGAGCGAACGGACGAGAAGCUUGCUUCUCUGAUGUUAGCGGCGGACGGGUGAGUAACACGUGUAUAACCUACCUAUAAGACUGGGAUAACUUCGGGAAACCGGAGCUAAUACCGUAUAAUAUUUUGAACCGCAUGGUUCAAAAGUGAAAGACGGUCUUGCUGUCACUUAUAGAUGGAUCCGCGCUGCAUUAGCUAGUUGGUAAGGUAACGGCUUACCAAGGCAACGAUGCAUAGCCGAACUGAGAGGGUGGUCGGCCGCCUGGGAACGUGAGCACGGGCAAGACUCCUACGGGAGGCAGCAGUAGGGAAUGUUCCGCAAUGGGCGAGAGCCUGACGGAGCGACGCGGAGUGAGUGAUGGAGGUCUUCGGAUCGUAAAAAUCUGUUAUUAGGGAAGAACAUAUGUGUAAGGAACUGUGCACAUCUUGACGGUACCUAAUCAGAAAGCCCCGGCUAACUACGUG